RNAcentral lists this ribosomal RNA (467 nucleotides) under uncultured bacterium. Its description in RNAcentral is "partial 16S ribosomal RNA". It matches the Rfam family "Bacterial small subunit ribosomal RNA", at positions 28 to 507 of the family's 1533-position model. The record is from RNAcentral.
GAUGAACGCUGGCGGCGCGCCUAACACAUGCAAGUCGAACGAUUAAAGCACCUUCGGGUGUGUAUAAAGCGGCGAACGGCUGAGUAACACGUGGGCAACCUGCCCCUUUCAUUGGGAUAGCCACGGGAAACCGUGGAUAAUACCGAAUACUUCGAGACUUCCGCAUGGAAGGCUCGAGAAAGCUCCGGCGGAGAGGGAUGGGCCCGCGGCCUGUUAGCUUGUUGGUGGGGUAACGGCCUACCAAGGCAAUGAUGGGUAGCUGGGUUGAGAGACCGACCAGCCAGAUUGGGACUGAGACACGGCCCAGACUCCUACGGGAGGCAGCAGUGGGGAAUCUUGCACAAUGGGCGAAAGCCUGAUGCAGCGACGCCGCGUGCGGGAUGAAGGCCUUCGGGUUGUAAACCGCUUUCAGCAGGGACGAGGCGAAAGUGACGGUACCUGCAGAAGAAGCCCCGGCUAACUACGUG